UAGGGAAUCUUCCACAAUGGACGCAAGUCUGAUGGAGCAACGCCGCGUGAGUGAAGAAGGUUUUCGGACCGUAAAGCUCUGUUGUUGGUGAAGAAGGAUAGAGGUAGUAACUGGCCUUUAUUUGACGGUAAUCAACCAGAAAGUCACGGCUAACUACGCGCCAGCAGCCGCGGUAAUACGUAGGUGGCAAGCGUUGUCCGGAUUUAUUGGGCGUAAAGCGAGCGCAGGCGGAAGAAUAAGUCUGAUGUGAAAGCCCUCGGCUUAACCGAGGAAUUGCAUCGGAAACUGUUUUCUUGAGUGCAGAAGAGGAGAGUAGAACUCCAUGUGUAGCGGUGGAAUGCGUAGAUAUAUGGAAGAAUACCAGUGGCGAAGGCGGCUCUCUGGUCUGCAACUGACGCUGAGGCUCGAAAGCAUGGGUAGCGAACAGGAUUAGAUACCCUGGUAGUCCAUGCCGUAAACGAUGAGUGCUAAGUGUUGGGAGGCUUCCGCCUCUCAGUGCUGCAGCUAACGCAUUAAGCACUCCGCCUGGGGGAGUACGACCGCAAGGUUGAAAC
This 554-nucleotide ribosomal RNA is filed under the name uncultured bacterium. RNAcentral's name for it is "partial 16S ribosomal RNA". It matches the Rfam family "Bacterial small subunit ribosomal RNA", at positions 355 to 900 of the family's 1533-position model. The record is from RNAcentral.